CAGUCGAACGAAGAACUUAAAAUGAGAGCUUCGGCAGGAUUUUUAUUUAUCUUACUGGCGGACGGGUGAGUAACGUGUGGGCAACCUGCCCUAUACUGGGGAAUAAUCACUGGAAACGGUGACUAAUACCGCAUGUCAUUACGGAAGGGCAUCCUUCUGUAAGAAAAGGAGUAAUUCGGUAUAGGAUGGGCCCGCAUCUGAUUAGCUAGUUGGUGAGAUAACAGCCCACCAAGGCGACGAUCAGUAGCCGACCUGAGAGGGUGAUCGGCCACAUUGGGACUGAGACACGGCCCAAACUCCUACGGGAGGCAGCAGUGGGGAAUAUUGCACAAUGGGGGAAACCCUGAUGCAGCAACGCCGCGUGAAGGAAGAAGGUUUUCGGAUCGUAAACUUCUAUCAACAGGGACGAAGAAAGUGACGGUACCUGAAUAAGAAGCCCCGGCUAACUACGUGCCAGCAGCCGCGGUAAUACGUAGGGGGCAAGCGUUAUCCGGAAUUACUGGGUGUAAAGGGAGCGUAGGCGGCACGCCAAGCCAGAUGUGAAAGCCCGAGGCUUAACCUCGCGGAUUGCAUUUGGAACUGGCGAGCUAGAGUACAGGAGAGGAAAGCGGAAUUCCUAGUGUAGCGGUGAAAUGCGUAGAUAUUAGGAAGAACACCAGUGGCGAAGGCGGCUUUCUGGACUGAAACUGACGCUGAGGCUCGAAAGCGUGGGGAGCAAACAGGAUUAGAUACCCUGGUAGUCCACGCCGUAAACGAUGAGUGCUAGGUGUCGGGGAGGAAUCCUCGGUGC
This 790-nucleotide ribosomal RNA is filed under the name uncultured bacterium. RNAcentral's name for it is "bacterial SSU rRNA". It matches the Rfam family "Bacterial small subunit ribosomal RNA", at positions 59 to 846 of the family's 1533-position model. The record is from RNAcentral.